Molecule: ribosomal RNA, 253 nt
Filed under: uncultured bacterium
Lineage: Bacteria
Description: partial 16S ribosomal RNA
Rfam family: Bacterial small subunit ribosomal RNA
Source: RNAcentral
GACAGAGGGUGCAAACGUUGUUCGGAAUUACUGGGCGUAAAGCGCGUGUAGGCUGCUCUGCAGGUCGGAUGUGAAAGCCCUGGGCUCAACCUAGGAAGUGCAUUCGAAACCGCGGAGCUUGAGUCUUGGAGAGGGUCGCGGAAUUCUCGGUGUAGAGGUGAAAUUCGUAGAUAUCGAGAGGAACACCGGUGGCGAAGGCGGCGACCUGGACAAUGACUGACGCUGAGACGCGAAAGCGUGGGGAGCAAACAGG